RNAcentral lists this transfer RNA (77 nucleotides) under Eubacteriales bacterium. Its description in RNAcentral is "tRNA-Arg". It matches the Rfam family "tRNA". Rfam says of the family: Transfer RNA (tRNA) molecules are approximately 80 nucleotides in length. Their secondary structure includes four short double-helical elements and three loops (D, anti-codon, and T loops). Lineage: Bacteria; Bacillati; Bacillota; Clostridia; Eubacteriales. The record is from RNAcentral. RNAcentral also lists the same sequence under 2 other names.
GCGCCUGUAGCUCAGCUGGAUAGAGCAACGGCCUUCUAAGCCGUGGGUCGGGGGUUCGAAUCCCUUCGGGCGCGCCA